This 244-nucleotide ribosomal RNA is filed under the name uncultured prokaryote. RNAcentral describes it as "partial 16S ribosomal RNA". It matches the Rfam family "Bacterial small subunit ribosomal RNA", at positions 524 to 766 of the family's 1533-position model. The record is from RNAcentral.
UACGGGGGGAGCAAGCGUUGUUCGGAUUUACUGGGCGUAAAGGGCGCGUAGGCGGUCGUGACAAGUCACUUGUGAAAUCUCCGGGCUUAACUCGGAACGGUCAAGUGAUACUGUCGGACUAGAGUACAGAAGGGGCAACUGGAAUUCUCGGUGUAGCGGUGAAAUGCGUAGAUAUCGGGAGGAACACCUGAGGCGAAGGCGGGCUACUGGGCCGAUACUGACGCUGAUGCGCGAAAGCCAGGGG